RNAcentral lists this ribosomal RNA (256 nucleotides) under uncultured bacterium. RNAcentral describes it as "partial 16S ribosomal RNA". It matches the Rfam family "Bacterial small subunit ribosomal RNA", at positions 524 to 776 of the family's 1533-position model. The record is from RNAcentral.
UACGUAGGGGGGCAAGCGUUGUCCGGAUUUAUUGGGCGUAAAGAGCGUGUAGGCGGUUUGGUAGGUCCGCUGUGAAAACUCGAGGCUCACCUCGAGACGCCGGUGGAAACCAUCAGGCGUAGAGUCCGGAAGAGGAGAGUGGAAUUCCUGGUGUAGCGGUGAAAUGCGCAGAUAUCAGGAAGAACACCCGUGGCUAAGGCGGCUCACUGGGCUGACCUUGACGCUGAGGCGCGAAGGGCGUGGGGAGGCGAACGGG